UAAGAGAACGAGAUUGCUUGUAAGAGAUAGGGUUCUCAUUUCAGUAUUGAGUUAGUUUAACUUCUGGUCUUUCCUUUUUCUUUUUUCCUUUUUAUCUAUUUGGAGAAGGUACUACCUUAUAGAUACCUUCUAGAUCUCAAUGUCCGUAUAUAUUUAUAUACACAGUUCUCUUCCAUCGUCAUCAAAAUCUUGUCAUGGAUCUGAUCUGAAACUUGAGAUCUAGUCUCUAGAUUUUUUUGCAGCUAAUUAUUUUCUUUUUCCUAUUUUUGUUAACGACUCAUAAGCUUCUAAGUUCCUCAUAUGGAACUUUUUUGUACUAGAUUCAAUUGUUUACAUCUACUUCAUAUAUAAUUUUAUUUUACUUUGAAAAUUAAUUGAAUUUUUUUUCUAUGAAGGUGAACCUUUGAUGCUAGGGUUUUAAGGGGUGGAGCUCCUUUUAGUCCAAAUAUGGAUGUUGCUAUGUUGAUAGAGCUGCUUAGCUAUGGAUCCCUCAAUUCUACCCAUCUUGUUCUUUGUGGUAGUUUUGUGGCUUCCAUAUCUAGGGAGCCUUAUCACCUUUAGUUUAAUCUUUCUUUGGAUUGAAGGGAGCUCUACAUCUUGCUCUC
RNAcentral lists this long non-coding RNA (605 nucleotides) under Medicago truncatula (barrel medic). RNAcentral's name for it is "lncRNA gene37366". The stretch from base 416 to 605 matches the Rfam family "MIR159 microRNA precursor family". Lineage: Eukaryota; Viridiplantae; Streptophyta; Magnoliopsida; Fabales; Fabaceae. The record is from RNAcentral.